GAUGAAGAACGUAGCGAAAUGCGAUAAGUAAUGUGAAUUGCAGAAUUCAGUGAAUCAUCGAAUCUUUGAACGCACAUUGCGCCCCCUGGUAUUCCGGGGGGCAUGCCUGUUCGAGCGUCAUUUCACCACUCAAGCCUCGCUUGGUAUUGGGCAACGCGGUCCGCCGCGUGCCUCAAAUCGACCGGCUGGGUCUUCUGUCCCCUAAGCGUUGUGGAGACUAUUCGCUAAAGGGUGUUCGGGAGGCUACGCCGUAAAACAACCCCAUUUCUAAGGUUGACCUCGGAUCAGGUAGGGAUACCCGCUGAACUUAAGCAUAUCAAUAAGCGGAGGA
RNAcentral lists this unclassified non-coding RNA (331 nucleotides) under soil metagenome. RNAcentral's name for it is "partial contains 5.8S ribosomal RNA, internal transcribed spacer 2, and large subunit ribosomal RNA". The stretch from base 1 to 120 matches the Rfam family "5.8S ribosomal RNA", at positions 35 to 154 of the family's 154-position model. The record is from RNAcentral.